CAAACUGAAGAUGGCGACCGGCGCACGGGUGAGUAACACGUAUCCAACCUGCCGAUAACUCCGGGAUAGCCUUUCGAAAGAAAGAUUAAUACCGGAUGGCAUACGAAUAUCGCAUGAUAUUUUUAUUAAAGAAUUUCGGUUAUCGAUGGGGAUGCGUUCCAUUAGUUUGUUGGCGGGGUAACGGCCCACCAAGACUACGAUGGAUAGGGGUUCUGAGAGGAAGGUCCCCCACAUUGGAACUGAGACACGGUCCAAACUCCUACGGGAGGCAGCAGUGAGGAAUAUUGGUCAAUGGGCGAGAGCCUGAACCAGCCAAGUAGCGUGAAGGAUGAAGGCUCUAUGGGUCGUAAACUUCUUUUAUAUGGGAAUAAAGUUUUCCACGUGUGGAAUUUUGUAUGUACCAUAUGAAUAAGGAUCGGCUAACUCCGUGCCAGCAGCCGCGGUAAUACGGAGGAUCCGAGCGUUAUCCGGAUUUAUUGGGUUUAAAGGGAGCGUAGGUGGAUUGUUAAGUCAGUUGUGAAAGUUUGCGGCUCAACCGUAAAAUUGCAGUUGAAACUGGCAGUCUUGAGUACAGUAGAGGUGGGCGGAAUUCGUGGUGUAGCGGUGAAAUGCUUAGAUAUCACGAAGAACUCCGAUUGCGAAGGCAGCUCACUAGACUGUUACUGACA
RNAcentral lists this ribosomal RNA (668 nucleotides) under uncultured Bacteroidales bacterium. RNAcentral describes it as "bacterial SSU rRNA". It matches the Rfam family "Bacterial small subunit ribosomal RNA", at positions 77 to 745 of the family's 1533-position model. The record is from RNAcentral. Lineage: Bacteria; Pseudomonadati; Bacteroidota; Bacteroidia; Bacteroidales.